Molecule: ribosomal RNA, 429 nt
Filed under: Chloroflexota bacterium
Lineage: Bacteria; Bacillati; Chloroflexota
Description: Chloroflexi bacterium partial 16S ribosomal RNA
Rfam family: Bacterial small subunit ribosomal RNA
Source: RNAcentral
UGGGGAAUAUUGCACAAUGGGCGCAAGCCUGAUGCAGCCAUGCCGCGUGUAUGAAGAAGGUCUUCUGGUUGUAAAGUACUUUCAGCGGGGAGGAAGGGAGUAAAGUUAAUACCUUUGCUCAUUGACGUUACCCGCAGAAGAAGCACCGGCUAACUCCGUGCCAGCAGCCGCGGUAAUACGGAGGGUGCAAGCGUUAAUCGGAAUUACUGGGCGUAAAGCGCACGCAGGCGGUUUGUUAAGUCAGAUGUGAAAUCCCCGGGCUCAACCUGGGAACUGCAUCUGAUACUGGCAAGCUUGAGUCUCGUAGAGAGGGGUAGAAUUCCAGGUGUAGCGGUGAAAUGCGUAGAGAUCUGGAGGAAUACCGGUGGCGAAGGCGGCCCCCUGGACGAAGACUGACGCUCAGGUGCGAAAGCGUGGGGAGCAAACAGG